GCCUGGGCGGCGUUGGUCCGGCGCCCAAUUCCCAGAUGCCUACGGGAAGGAGCUGUUUGACAAGGCCAACAAACACCACUUCUUACACAGCCUGGCCCUGUUAGGGGUGCCCCAUUGCAGAAAGCCACUCUGGGCUGGGUUAUUGCUAGCUUCCGGAACGACCUUAUUCUGCACCAGCUUUUACUACCAGGCUCUGAGUGGAGACCCCAGCAUCCAGACUUUGGCCCCUGCGGGAGGGACCCUGCUACUCUUGGGCUGGCUUGCCUUGGCUCUUUGAGCUCCCUUUUGCUUAAUUACUGGGUUUUCUGGGCAGUUUUUUUUUUAAAGAGUUGGAGUAAGAAGAGGAUUAAAAAGGAAAGGCAAAU
This 365-nucleotide long non-coding RNA is filed under the name Homo sapiens (human). RNAcentral describes it as "HSALNT0236723". Lineage: Eukaryota; Metazoa; Chordata; Mammalia; Primates; Hominidae. The record is from RNAcentral.